UACGUAGGGAGCAAGCGUUGUCCGGAUUUACUGGGUGUAAAGGGUGCGUAGGCGGCUUUGCAAGUCAGAAGUGAAAUCUAUGGGCUUAACCCAUAAACUGCUUUUGAAACUGCAGGGCUUGAGUGAAGUAGAGGUAGGCGGAAUUCCCGGUGUAGCGGUGAAAUGCGUAGAGACCGGGAGGAACACCAGUGGCGAAGGCGGCCUACUGGGCUUUAACUGACGCUGAGGCACGAAAGCGUGGGUAGCAAACAGG
RNAcentral lists this ribosomal RNA (253 nucleotides) under uncultured bacterium. RNAcentral describes it as "partial 16S ribosomal RNA". It matches the Rfam family "Bacterial small subunit ribosomal RNA", at positions 524 to 776 of the family's 1533-position model. The record is from RNAcentral.